This 299-nucleotide long non-coding RNA is filed under the name Brachypodium distachyon (stiff brome). RNAcentral's name for it is "long non-coding RNA (BDIS_LNC002315)". Lineage: Eukaryota; Viridiplantae; Streptophyta; Magnoliopsida; Poales; Poaceae. The record is from RNAcentral.
CCGUGUUUCGUGCCGCUGUCCUCUCCCUAACAUGUUUCUUCGUGAACUCAUCAAGAUAACCACGUAUCCUAGUGUACUUCCAUUGUUGGUUCUGUUUGCAGAGUUUCUUGAAUAGAUUCAUAAGUGACUUGUUCCUGAACUGCGAGAAGAAGUUGGCCCCCAAAUGCCGCAUGCACCAACGACUCUACAUGUCCUGCCAUGGAGUCUGUUCAUCAGGCCCAGGGUUUGUCAGUGUCCUUAUCGCACUGAGUAUGCCUGCAUGUCUGUCAUGAAGGAUGCACACAUUCGGCUUAUCAUGC